RNAcentral lists this ribosomal RNA (253 nucleotides) under uncultured bacterium. RNAcentral describes it as "partial 16S ribosomal RNA". It matches the Rfam family "Bacterial small subunit ribosomal RNA", at positions 524 to 776 of the family's 1533-position model. The record is from RNAcentral.
GACAGAGGAGCCAAGCGUUGUCCGGACUGACUGGGCGUAAAGCGCACGCAGGCGGCGCUGCGCGUGGGGUGUGAAAGCUCUUGGCUUAACUGAGAGAGGCCAUCCCAUACGGCAGUGCUCGAGCGGUGCAGAGGUCCGCGGAAUUGCCGGUGUAGUGGUGAAAUGCGUAGAUAUUGGGAAGAACACCUGAGGCGAAGGCGGGUUGCUGGGCUGAUACUGACGCUGAGGCGCGAAAGCCAGGGGAGCAAACGGG